This 220-nucleotide long non-coding RNA is filed under the name Mytilus galloprovincialis (Mediterranean mussel). The record is from RNAcentral. Lineage: Eukaryota; Metazoa; Mollusca; Bivalvia; Mytilida; Mytilidae.
CGAACAAUUUGGUGAAGACAGUUUGCUAAAAUCUUUUGCGGCUUAAGAGAUAUAGCGAUAACAAGAAAAAGGGGACGCGGGGAGAUAACUCCUAUAAGAAUAAGUGUUCGGUCACACAGGGUGAGUUUUGAAACCCCCAUUACUGUACAACAUCAUUGGCCAAACAUCCAUUCGAUAUGUUGUAAGACAAAAAAGCAUCUCAGACGGCAGAAAAAAAAAA